This 263-nucleotide ribosomal RNA is filed under the name uncultured Methanosaeta sp. Its description in RNAcentral is "partial 16S ribosomal RNA". It matches the Rfam family "Archaeal small subunit ribosomal RNA", at positions 1076 to 1338 of the family's 1478-position model. Lineage: Archaea; Methanobacteriati; Methanobacteriota; Methanomicrobia; Methanotrichales; Methanotrichaceae. The record is from RNAcentral.
UCUCUGGAGUGACGGGUACACUGUGGGACCGCCGCUGCUAAAGCGGAGGAAGGAAUGGGCAACGGUAGGUCAGUAUGCCCCGAAUAUCCCGGGCUACACGCGAGCUACAAUGGUUGGUACAAUGGGGUAUCUACCCCGAAAGGGGACGGGAAUCUCCUAAAACCAAUCUUAGUUCGGAUUGAGGGCUGCAACUCGCCCUCAUGAAGCUGGAAUCCGUAGUAAUCGCGUUUCAACAGAACGCGGUGAAUACGUCCCUGCUCCUU